CCUACGGGUGGCAGCAGUCGAGAAUCAUUCACAAUGGGGGAAACCCUGAUGGUGCGACGCCGCGUGGGGGAAUGAAGGUCUUCGGAUUGUAAGCCCCUGUCAUGUGGGAGCAAAUUAAAAAGAUAGUACCACAAGAGGAAGAGACGGCUAACUCUGUGCCGGCAGCCGCGGUAAUACAGAGGUCUCAAGCGUUGUGCGGAAUCACUGGGCGUAAUGCGUGCGUCGGCUGUUUCGUAAGUCGUGUGUGAAAUGCGCGGGCUCAACCCGCGGACGGCUAAUGAUACUGCGAGACUAGAGUAAUGGAGAGGGAGCCAGAAUUCUCGGUGUAGCAGUGAAAUGCGUAGAGAUCGGGAGGAACACUCGUGGCGAAGGCGGGUUCCUGGACAUUAACUGACGCUGAGGCACGAAGGCCAGGGGAGCGAAAGGGAUUAGAUACCCUUGUAGUC
RNAcentral lists this ribosomal RNA (446 nucleotides) under uncultured bacterium. Its description in RNAcentral is "partial 16S ribosomal RNA". It matches the Rfam family "Bacterial small subunit ribosomal RNA", at positions 338 to 795 of the family's 1533-position model. The record is from RNAcentral.